This 253-nucleotide ribosomal RNA is filed under the name uncultured bacterium. RNAcentral's name for it is "partial 16S ribosomal RNA". It matches the Rfam family "Bacterial small subunit ribosomal RNA", at positions 524 to 776 of the family's 1533-position model. The record is from RNAcentral.
UACGGGGGGGGCAAGCGUUGUUCGGAAUUACUGGGCGUAAAGGGCUCGUAGGCGGCCAACUAAGUCGGAUGUGAAAUCCCCAAGCUUAACUUGGGAACUGCAUCCGAUACUGGAUGGCUUGAAUCCGGGAGAGGGAUGCAGAAUUCCAGGUGUAGCGGCGAAAUGCGUAGAUAUCUGGAGGAAUACCGGUGGCGAAGGCGGCAUCCUGGACCGGCAUUGACGCUGAGGAGCGAAAGCGUGGGGAGCAAACAGG